Molecule: ribosomal RNA, 484 nt
Filed under: uncultured bacterium
Lineage: Bacteria
Description: partial 16S ribosomal RNA
Rfam family: Bacterial small subunit ribosomal RNA
Source: RNAcentral
AUUGAACGCUGGCGGCAGGCCUAACACAUGCAAGUCGAGCGGAUGAAGGGAGCUUGCUCCUGGAUUCAGCGGCGGACGGGUGAGUAAUGCCUAGGAAUCUGCCUGGUAGUGGGGGAUAACGUCCGGAAACGGGCGCUAAUCCCGCAUACGUCCUGAGGGAGAAAGUGGGGGAUCUUCGGACCUCACGCUAUCAGAUGAGCCUAGGUCGGAUUAGCUAGUUGGUGUGGUAAAGGCCUACCAAGGCGACGAUCCGUAACUGGUCUGAGAGGAUGAUCAGUCACACUGGAACUGAGACACGGUCCAGACUCCUACGGGAGGCAGCAGUGGGGAAUAUUGGACAAUGGGCGAAAGCCUGAUCCAGCCAUGCCGCGUGUGUGAAGAAGGUCUUCGGAUUGUAAAGCACUUUAAGUUGGGAGGAAGGGCAGUAAGUUAAUACCUUGCUGUUUUGACGUUACCAACAGAAUAAGCACCGGCUAACUUCGUG